UCGGGAAUUUUGGGCAAUGGGCGAAAGCCUGACCCAGCAACGCCGCGUGAAGGAUGAAGUAUUUCGGUAUGUAAACUUCGAAAGAAUAGGAAGAAUAAAUGACGGUACUAUUUAUAAGGUCCGGCUAACUACGUGCCAGCAGCCGCGGUAAUACGUAGGGACCAAGCGUUGUUCGGAUUUACUGGGCGUAAAGCGCGCGUAGGUGGUUAGUUAAGUUGGAUGUGAAAUCCCCGGGCUCAACCUGGGAACUGCAUUCAAAACUGACUGACUAGAGUAUGGUAGAGGGUGGUGGAAUUUCCUGUGUAGCGGUGAAAUGCGUAGAUAUAGGAAGGAACACCAGUGGCGAAGGCGACCACCUGGACUGGUACUGACACUGAGGUGCGAAAGCGUGGGGAGCAAACAGGAUUAGAUACCCCGGUAGUCCCUGAGCGGGCUGGCAAGGCGCAU
This 447-nucleotide ribosomal RNA is filed under the name uncultured bacterium. RNAcentral describes it as "bacterial SSU rRNA". It matches the Rfam family "Bacterial small subunit ribosomal RNA", at positions 355 to 825 of the family's 1533-position model. The record is from RNAcentral.